Molecule: ribosomal RNA, 465 nt
Filed under: uncultured bacterium
Lineage: Bacteria
Description: partial 16S ribosomal RNA
Rfam family: Bacterial small subunit ribosomal RNA
Source: RNAcentral
GACGAACGCUGGCGGCGUGCUUAACACAUGCAAGUCGAACGGAAAGGCCCCUUUGGGGGUACUCGAGUGGCGAACGGGUGAGUAACACGUGAGUAACCUGCCCUUGACUUCGGGAUAACUUCAGGAAACUGGGGCUAAUACCGGAUAGGAAUCCUUGCUGCAUGGUGGGGGUUGGAAAGCUUCGGCGGUUUUGGAUGGACUCGCGGCUUAUCAGCUUGUUGGUGGGGUAGUGGCUUACCAAGGCUUUGACGGGUAGCCGGCCUGAGAGGGCGACCGGCCACAAUGGGACUGGGAGACGGCCCAGACUCCGACGGGGGGGAGCAGGGGGGAAGAUUGAACAAUGGGCGGAAGCCUGAUGCAGCAACGCCGCGGGCGGGAUGACGGGCUUCGGGUUGGAAACCGCAUUCAGCAGGGGCGAAGCUUGUGGUGACGGUACCUGCAGAAGAAGCACCGGCUAACUACGUG